AUGAAACCAAGUGUUUCUUCAAUGGUAGAUGUCAAUUUCAGGAACUCUGUUAAAAGUAGUUUAUCAUCCUGAAACUCACGAACAGGUCAAAGCUUGCCCAAAACCUAGUUCUAAAAUAGCAAUUCUUCCCUUGCUAACCAUUUUGUGUCUGAUUAAUGAGGUAGAUUAAUAAAAUGUAUUGUGACAUUUCACAGAACUAGUGCUAACAUUUGAGUACCAAUGGCCAGAAAACAAGUUUGGAGCUCUAGAAACAUGCUUACCCUGAACAAAGGCAUGUGUGAAACAUAGUAGAGGUGUGAAGAAGAUUCCUGAAAUCUCACAGGUGAAAUUUCAGUCAUUUGAUUGGCAAUGACCAAGAGGACAAGGCUUCGGAAGAGGACUAAGAUGAGAAGGAUUAAGAUGGUAACUUCCACUCAGAAGGCUAUGUUGGCUUCAUGGGCAAGAAGUGCUGCAAGAGCCAUUUCACCCACAGCUGUGAAUUUGUGUUCCAGUCUACCUCUGUUGAAACCUUUCUGUGGCAAGCCUCUGACAUCAGGCAAUGUGGGGUCCAUGGCAGGCUUCUCUGUAAAGGGUUAGGCUCACCAGUAGAUCUAUGCACGUCAGACCUGGGUGCACAACACUUAAACAAGAGCAUUUCUUUUACCAGUCUGCACUUUUCCAUCCCCAGACUUGGAGGGUAACAUUGUUCCCUAAAUAUACUUACAGGAAUAACAAA
This 715-nucleotide long non-coding RNA is filed under the name Homo sapiens (human). RNAcentral describes it as "non-protein coding lnc-CCNI-5:1". The record is from RNAcentral. Lineage: Eukaryota; Metazoa; Chordata; Mammalia; Primates; Hominidae.